CGGCAUCACGACUAGCUCGCUGAAUCAUCGAGUUUACACAAACUCAUGAUGUCGUAAGGGAAAAUAAUGAUAAUACCUUACUAAUAGUGUCGUCCAAAUCUGGUGCCAGAAGACUCGGUAAGACCAGAGACGCAAACGUUAAUCAUCAUAAACAGGCGUAAAGGGUUUGUAGGCAGGUUUCCUAAAGAAUAUAAUUAACCAAAUAAAGUAUUUUCAAUGAAAGCUAGAAUCAAAUAUAGGUUAUAGUGUAUAACGCUUAGAGGAGGGCUGAUAUCCAUAGAUCCUAGGCAGAAUACUAAGGGCGAAGGCCACUUUCCAUUAAUGAUUGACGCUGAGAAACGAAGGUUAGGGUAGGAAAUAGGAUUAGAUACCCCGGUACUCCUUUCUGUAAACGAUGAAUGGUAGUCAUUAGUUUAAACAAAACUAGAGGCGAAGUUAACACGAUAACCAUUCCGCCUUGUGAGUACUACUGCAAAGUAGAAAACAAAAAAAUUAGUCGGUCUCGAAGCAAAAUGGGG
RNAcentral lists this ribosomal RNA (518 nucleotides) under Trametes sp. 1 YC-2017. Its description in RNAcentral is "SSU rRNA". It matches the Rfam family "Bacterial small subunit ribosomal RNA", at positions 397 to 935 of the family's 1533-position model. The record is from RNAcentral. Lineage: Eukaryota; Fungi; Basidiomycota; Agaricomycetes; Polyporales; Polyporaceae.